UCCUGAAAAAGGCAAACUUAGCGAAAGCUAAGGGCGCAAAACUGCGGGACUAAGGUAGAAGUAGUGCUAUGUCAGCCGGGUUGCCAGG
Molecule: non-coding RNA, 88 nt
Filed under: Desulfotomaculum sp.
Lineage: Bacteria; Bacillati; Bacillota; Clostridia; Eubacteriales; Desulfotomaculaceae
Description: c-di-GMP sequence
Rfam family: c-di-GMP-I riboswitch aptamer
About the family: GEMM was predicted in a large-scale screen for bacterial structured RNA regulatory elements. Genes associated with GEMM are involved in a diverse array of functions, including chemotaxis regulation, signal transduction, secretion and chitin.
Source: RNAcentral